ACGGAUGUGGUGCAGCUUGGUAGCACGCUUGCCUUGGGAGCAAGAGGUCGCAGGUUCGAACCCUGCCAUUCGUA
RNAcentral lists this transfer RNA (74 nucleotides) under Paenibacillus thiaminolyticus. Its description in RNAcentral is "tRNA-Pro". It matches the Rfam family "tRNA". Rfam says of the family: Transfer RNA (tRNA) molecules are approximately 80 nucleotides in length. Their secondary structure includes four short double-helical elements and three loops (D, anti-codon, and T loops). RNAcentral also lists the same sequence under 2 other names. The record is from RNAcentral. Lineage: Bacteria; Bacillati; Bacillota; Bacilli; Caryophanales; Paenibacillaceae.